Molecule: ribosomal RNA, 500 nt
Filed under: uncultured bacterium
Lineage: Bacteria
Description: partial 16S ribosomal RNA
Rfam family: Bacterial small subunit ribosomal RNA
Source: RNAcentral
AUUGAACGCUGGCGGAAUGCCUUACACAUGCAAGUCGAACGGCAGCACGGGGGCAACCCUGGUGGCGAGUGGCGAACGGGUGAGUAAUACAUCGGAACGUGCCCAGUCGUGGGGGAUAACGUAGCGAAAGUUACGCUAAUACCGCAUACGAUCUACGGAUGAAAGCGGGGGACCGUAAGGCCUCGCGCGAUUGGAGCGGCCGAUGUCAGAUUAGGUAGUUGGUGAGGUAAAGGCUCACCAAGCCGACGAUCUGUAGCUGGUCUGAGAGGACGACCAGCCACACUGGGACUGAGACACGGCCCAGACUCCUACGGGAGGCAGCAGUGGGGAAUUUUGGACAAUGGGCGCAAGCCUGAUCCAGCCAUUCCGCGUGCAGGACGAAGGCCUUCGGGUUGUAAACUGCUUUUGUACGGAACGAAAAGGCUCUGGUUAAUACCUGGGGCUCAUGACGGUACCGUAAGAAUAAGCACCGACUAACUACGUGCCAGCAGCCGCCGUAA